This 647-nucleotide ribosomal RNA is filed under the name uncultured rumen bacterium. RNAcentral describes it as "bacterial SSU rRNA". It matches the Rfam family "Bacterial small subunit ribosomal RNA", at positions 521 to 1176 of the family's 1533-position model. The record is from RNAcentral.
UAAUACAGAGGUCCCUAGCGUUGUUCGGAUGUACUGGGCGUAAAGGGCACGUAGGCGGCGAGGUGUGUCGAGUGUGAAAUCUCCGGGCUCAACCCGGAAAGUGCGCUCGAAACUGCCUUGCUGGAGUACGGGAGAGGGAAGGGGAAUGCAGGGUGUAGCGGUGAAAUGCGUUGAUAUCCUGCAGAACACCGGAGGCGAAGGCGCCUUCCUGGAACGUUACUGACGCUAAGGUGCGAAAGUCGGGGGAGCAAACAGGAUUAGAUACCCUGGUAGUCCCGACCUUAAACGGUGCACACUCGAGGUUGGGGGAUUUCACCCCUCCAGUCUCUCAGCUAACGCGUUAAGUGUGCCGCCUGGGGAGUACGGCCGCAAGGCUAAAACUCAAAGGAAUUGACGGGGGCCCGCACAAGCGGAGGAACAUGUGGUUUAAUUCGAUGAUACGCGAGGAACCUUACCCGGGCUUGAAUGCAUAUGAGUCGCGGAGAGAUCCGUGAGCCGCAAGGCAUAUGUGAAGGUGCUGCAUGGUUGUCGUCAGCUCGUGCCGUGAGGUGUCGGCUUAAGUGCCAUAACGAGCGCAACCCUGUCCCAGUUGCAUCGGGUAAUGCCGGGCACUCUGCGGAGACUGCGUCGUAAGAUGUGAGGAAGCG